AAUCAAACCCGGAGAUAUCUCGUUCUCCCCGAAAUAGCUUUAGGGCUAGCCUCGGCCGUUCACCCGCGGUGGUAGAGCCACCGGAUCGACGAGGGGGCUUCACCGCCUACCGACUCGAACCGAACUCCGAAUGCCGCGGGUACACAGGCCGGGAGUCAGAGGGCGUGGGCUAAGCUGCGCGCUCGAGAGGGAAACAGCCCAGACCGCCCGCUAAGGCCCCCAAGUCAUCGCUGAGUGGCAAAGGAUGUGCGUCUGCCCAGACAACCAGGAUGUUGGCUUAGAAGCAGCCAUGCAUUUAAAGAGUGCGUAACAGCUCACUGGUCGAGUGGACAUGCGCCGACAAUUCACGGGGCUAAGCGAUGCGCCGAAGCGGCGGACUGGAAAUUACUCCAGUGGUAGGGGAGCUCUCCGAGGGGGGCGAAGCGGCGCCGCGAGGCGCCGUGGACCGCUCGGAGGUGAGAAUGCUGGCAUGAGUAACGAGAGCGGCGCGAGAAACGCCGCCGCCGUGAGCCUAAGGGUUCCUGGGCGAGGCUAAUCCCCCCAGGGUCAGUCGGGAGCUAAGGCGAGGCCGAGAGGCGUAGCCGAUGCGCAGCGGGCAGACAUUCCCGCACCGCCGACGGCGCGGCAUUACCGAUGGGGCGACGGAGAAGGGUAGCCGGGCGGGGUUCUGGACGUCCCCGUGAAAGCGCGUAGGGCGCGCCGCAUGGAAAUCAGCGGCGCACAUGGGCCUGAGACGCGAGACGAAGCGAACGAGCGAAGCCGGUGAGCCCAUGCUUCCGAGAAAAACCUCUAGGGAGUGCCGUCGGCGCCCGUACCAAAACCGACACAGGUGGGCGGGUAGAACAUACCGAGGCGAUCGGGAGAACCACGGUUAAGGAACUCGGCAUACUGGCCCCGUAACUUCGGGAGAAGGGGCGCCCUCUGGGGUGAAGGCACUUGCUGCCGGAGCGCCGGAGGGCCGCAGCGAAACGGCCCAAGCGACUGUUUAUCAAAAACACAGGACUCUGCAAAGUAGCAAUACGACGUAUAGGGUCUGACGCCUGCCCGGUGCCGGAAGGUUACGCGGAUGAGUUAGCGAAAGCGAAGCCCUGAAGCCAAGCCCCGGUAAACGGCGGCCGUAACUAUAACGGUCCUAAGGUAGCGAAAUUCCUUGUCGGGUAAGUUCCGACCUGCACGAAUGGCGUAACGAUUUGGGCGCUGUCUCAACCGUGGACCCGGUGAAAUUGUACUGUUCGUGAAGAUGCGAACUACCCGCGGAAGGACGGAAAGACCCCGUGAACCUUCACUGCAGCUUGGCAUUGGCAUCUGGUACGGCGCGUAGAGGAUAGGCAGGAGCCCGCGAAGCGGGGGCGCAAGCCCCCGUGGAGGCGACCUUGGAAUACUGCCCCCGUCGUGCCGGCUGCCUAACGCGCGGCCGUCAUCCGGCGCGCGGACCGUGCCAGGCGGGUAGUUUGACUGGGGCGGUCGCCUCCCAAAGAGUAACGGAGGCGCGCGUAAGGUCCGCUCAGGACGGUCGGCAACCGUCCCGAGAGCGCAAGAGUGCAAGCGGGCUUGACUGCGAGACUGACAAGUCGGGCAGGUGCGAAAGCAGGUUCUAGUGAUCCGGCGGCCCAGAGUGGAAUGGCCGUCGCUCAACGGAUAAAAGGUACUCCGGGGAUAACAGGCUGAUCUUCCCCAAGAGUCCACAUCGACGGGAAGGUUUGGCACCUCGAUGUCGGCUCAUCGCAUCCUGGGGCUGGAGCAGGUCCCAAGGGUUGGGCUGUUCGCCCAUUAAAGCGGUACGCGAGCUGGGUUCAGAACGUCGUGAGACAGUUCGGUCCCUAUCCUCCGCGGGCGCAAGGGAGUUGAGGAGAUCUGCCCCUAGUACGAGAGGACCGGGGUGGACGGACCUCUGGUGACGCGGUUGUCGGCCAACGGCACCGCCGCCUAGCUACGUCCGGCACGGAUAACCGCUGAAGGCAUCUAAGUGGGAAGCCGCCUCCGAGAUGAGCUCCCUUUCCGGUAAGGGCCCAGAUAGACUAUCUGGUCGAUAGGGCGCAGCUGCAAGCAGGGCGACCUGCUCAGGCGAGCGCUACUAAUAGCCCGAGCUCUUCUUCU
Molecule: ribosomal RNA, 2097 nt
Filed under: mouse gut metagenome
Description: bacterial LSU rRNA
Rfam family: Bacterial large subunit ribosomal RNA
Source: RNAcentral